UAAAAUAUACCUAUAGGUAGUAUAUGAUAGGUGCUUAUAGGCUUUAGUAAUGGUUAUUUUUUUCCAAGAACCGUCAAAUUAUUAACGGGAUAAUAUAUUUAUUAUUAUGAAUUGCACCGAAGAUAAAAAAAAACCCGAGCGGCGGGGCUUCACAGUUUUCAAAUGUUCGGGAGGAUAUAUAAAACACCAGUACCCUUUUUUAGUUGGUUUAAACAUACAAAUGUAUAAUUUACUUCAUAAUUGAAAGAUUACUUACAAUUACAAACAUGUUUUAUGUAAACGAAACGCUAUCAAAUAAAAUAAAUGCCAGCUUAUUGAAUAGAUAAUAUUUGAGUAGUAUCAAAACAAAUUUUAAUUAAAUUAGUAUGUACUUACUUACUCAAAUAAUAAUUCUUAAAAGUAUGUAUUGCAACACUGAUGUCUGAUAAUAUAUGCUAGAAGUCUAGAACCUAGAUAGCCGAUAGGUAUACUACAAUUUUAAUUGUAUUAAUUUGUUAAAAGGAUGUUAUACCCGGUUGUGAUGUCUCAGUCUUAAUAAUGUGAAGUGCAGUCAAUUUUAUGUAAGAGACAAGAGUGAAUUGACUUUUUAUACAAGUAUACAAUUUAAAGAAUAAAAUCUCCAGUUCAAAGAAAAUAAGGAAGAAAGAAGAAAUUGAAGAUUUUGUACUAACCUAUAGAAACGUACAAUUUCAUCACUCUUUGACAUUAUAAUGUGUAAAUGUUAAAAAUUUUCUGUUUGAGGACAUUACUAAUAAGCCUAUAGAGAAAUGGCUUUCACCAGAACUGAAUGCCACGGAACAUCAUUGGUCAAUUCAUCAAAAUACUUGCGGUCAUCAGCUAAGUCUGGAUAACAAAUCUGGAUAAUAUUUAGUGUCUUCUCGUUCUCGUUUACAGUUU
Myzus persicae (green peach aphid) is the source of this 897-nucleotide long non-coding RNA. RefSeq lists it as uncharacterized. Lineage: Eukaryota; Metazoa; Arthropoda; Insecta; Hemiptera; Aphididae. The record is from RefSeq and is a predicted model, not a curated record. The transcript is spliced from 4 exons.